GACGAACGCUGGCGGCGCGCCUAACACAUGCAAGUCGAGCGGAGAUAUAUGAAGAGUAAUCCGAAUAUAUCUUAGCGGCGGACGGGUGAGUAGCGCGUGAGUGACCUGCCUCUUACAGGGGAAUAACGUGCCGAAAGGCACACUAAUACCACAUAAGACCACGAAGUCGCAUGGUUUUGAGGUCAAAGGAGCAAUCCGGUAAGAGAUGGGCUCGCGUCCGAUUAGAUAGUUGGUGAGGUAACGGCCCACCAAGUCGACGAUCGGUAGCCGACCUGAGAGGGUGAUCCCCCACACUGGUACUGAGACACGGACCAGACUCCUACGGGAGGCAGCAGUGAGGAAUAUGGUCAAUGGG
This 355-nucleotide ribosomal RNA is filed under the name uncultured bacterium. RNAcentral's name for it is "bacterial SSU rRNA". It matches the Rfam family "Bacterial small subunit ribosomal RNA", at positions 28 to 375 of the family's 1533-position model. The record is from RNAcentral.